Molecule: ribosomal RNA, 778 nt
Filed under: uncultured Neocallimastigales
Lineage: Eukaryota; Fungi; Neocallimastigomycota; Neocallimastigomycetes; Neocallimastigales
Description: partial large subunit ribosomal RNA
Rfam family: Eukaryotic large subunit ribosomal RNA
Source: RNAcentral
UACGACUACAUAUCAGGCAUAUCAAUAAGCGGAGGAAAAGAAACUAACAAGGAUUCCCUUAGUAACGGCGAGUGAAGCGGGAAGAGCUCAAAUUUGAAAUCUUCAAGGUUUUACCUUGACGAAUUGUAGUUUAAAGAAGUGUUUUCUGUUGAAGUUUUGGUAAAAGUUCUUUGGAAUAGGACAUCAUAGAGGGUGAGAAUCCCGUAUUUGACCAUUAUUUUCCAGCUGUGUGAUACACUUUCAAAGAGUCGGAUUGUUUGGGAAUGCAGUCCAAAAUGGGUGGUAAAUUUCAUCUAAAGCUAAAUAUUGGCGAGAGACCGAUAGCGAACAAGUACCGUGAGGGAAAGAUGAAAAGAGCUUUGAAAAGAGAGUUAAACAGUACGUGAAAUUGUCAAAAGGGAAGCGUUUGACACCAGUGUUGUUUUCUCGAAAAUCAAUUAAAAAGAGUUGGAUUUUGUGUUGUAUGACCUUAUCAGCUUUCUGCACUCUUUUCUAGUCUUUUUUAAUGCACUUUUCGUUUAACAAGUCAACAUCAAGUUUCUUUUGCUGUAAAAGGGUCAUUGGAAGGUGGCUUUCUCUUCGGAGAAAGUGUUUAUAGCCUUUGAUCUCUGCAAUCGGAGAGACUGAGGUCUGCAGCGUAGAUCCUUCGGGGUUAGAUACAUUUGUGCUAAGCUACUAGCUUUUCAUAGACAACUUGUUGACUAUGAUUAGUCAUUGUAGACUUACUCGCUUAUGCUAUUUUACCUACGCUUAGGAUGUUGAGCGCAUGUCUCUCUCU